RNAcentral lists this transfer RNA (85 nucleotides) under Felis catus (domestic cat). It matches the Rfam family "tRNA". From Rfam's summary of the family: Transfer RNA (tRNA) molecules are approximately 80 nucleotides in length. Their secondary structure includes four short double-helical elements and three loops (D, anti-codon, and T loops). Lineage: Eukaryota; Metazoa; Chordata; Mammalia; Carnivora; Felidae. The record is from Rfam by way of RNAcentral.
GCCUGGGUGGCUCAGUCGGUUGAGCUUCUGAUUUCUACUCACAUCGUGAUCUCAGGGUUCAUGAGUUCGAGCCCUGCCUCGGGCU